CCCUUAGAUGUUCUGGGCCGCACGCGCGCUACACUGACGAUGGCAACGAGUUUUUCCUUCGCCGAAAGGUGUGGGUAAUCUUUUGAAACAUCGUCGUGCUGGGGAUAGAUCAUUGCAAUUUUUGAUCUUGAACGAGGAAUUCCUAGGAAGCGCGAGUCAUCAGCUCGCGUUGAUUACGUCCCUGCCCUUUGUACACACCGCCCGUCGCUACUACCGAUUGAAUGGUUUAGUGAGGACUCCUGAUUGGCGCCGCCGCCCCGGCAACGGAGCAGCGGACUGCCGAAAAGUUGUUCAAACUUGAUCAUUUAGAGGAAGUAAAAGUCGUAACA
This 329-nucleotide ribosomal RNA is filed under the name uncultured eukaryote. Its description in RNAcentral is "partial 18S ribosomal RNA". It matches the Rfam family "Eukaryotic small subunit ribosomal RNA", at positions 1470 to 1796 of the family's 1831-position model. The record is from RNAcentral.